RNAcentral lists this ribosomal RNA (457 nucleotides) under uncultured bacterium. Its description in RNAcentral is "bacterial SSU rRNA". It matches the Rfam family "Bacterial small subunit ribosomal RNA", at positions 33 to 507 of the family's 1533-position model. The record is from RNAcentral.
ACGCUGGCGGCGUGCCUAACACAUGCAAGUCAACGGGGUUACGAGAGCUUGCUCUUGUAACUUAGUGGCAACGGGUGAGUAACGCGUGAGAACCUGCCUUUCAGAGGGGGACGACAGUUGGAAACGACUGCUAAUACCGCAUAACGCGUAGAGGUCGCAUGCCUUUACGCCAAAGAUUUAUCGCUGAAAGAUGGCCUCGCGUCUGAUUAGCUAGUUGGUGAGGUAACGGCCCACCAAGGCGACGAUCAGUAGCCGGACUGAGAGGUUGAACGGCCACAUUGGGACUGAGAUACGGCCCAGACUCCUACGGGAGGCAGCAGUGGGGAAUAUUGGGCAAUGGGCGCAAGCCUGACCCAGCAAUGCCGCGUGAAGGAAGAAGGCUUUCGGGUUGUAAACUUCUUUUGUCAGGGACGAGUAGAAGACGGUACCUGACGAAUAAGCCACGGCUAACUACGUG